GAGUUUGAUCAUGGCUCAGGACGAACGCUGGCGGCGUGCCUAAUACAUGCAAGUAGAACGCUGAAGAGAGGAGCUUGCUCUUCUUGGAUGAGUUGCGAACGGGUGAGUAACGCGUAGGUAACCUGCCUUGUAGCGGGGGAUAACUAUUGGAAACGAUAGCUAAUACCGCAUAACAAUAGGUGACACAUGUCAUUUAUUUGAAAGGGGCAAUUGCUCCACUACAAGAUGGACCUGCGUUGUAUUAGCUAGUAGGUGAGGUAACGGCUCACCUAGGCGACGAUACAUAGCCGACCUGAGAGGGUGAUCGGCCACACUGGGACUGAGACACGGCCCAGACUCCUACGGGAGGCAGCAGUAGGGAAUCUUCGGCAAUGGGGGCAACCCUGACCGAGCAACGCCGCGUGAGUGAAGAAGGUUUUCGGAUCGUAAAGCUCUGUUGUAAGUCAAGAACGAGUGUGAGAGUGGAAAGUUCACACUGUGACGGUAGCUUACCAGAAAGGGACGGCUAACUACGUGCCAGCAGCCGCGGUAAUACGUAGGUCCCGAGCGUUGUCCGGAUUUAUUGGGCGUAAAGCGAGCGCAGGCGGUUUGAUAAGUCUGAAGUUAAAGGCUGUGGCUCAACCAUAGUUCGCUUUGGAAACUGUCAAACUUGAGUGCAGAAGGGGAGAGUGGAAUUCCAUGUGUAGCGGUGAAAUGCGUAGAUAUAUGGAGGAACACCGGUGGCGAAAGCGGCUCUCUGGUCUGUAACUGACGCUGAGGCUCGAAAGCGUGGGGAGCGAACAGGAUUAGAUACCCUGGUAGUCCACGCCGUAAACGAUGAGUGCUAGGUGUUGGAUCCUUUCCGGGAUUCAGUGCCGCAGCUAACGCAUUAAGCACUCCGCCUGGGGAGUACGACCGCAAGGUUGAAACUCAAAGGAAUUGACGGGGGCCCGCACAAGCGGUGGAGCAUGUGGUUUAAUUCGAAGCAACGCGAAGAACCUUACCAGGUCUUGACAUCCCGAUGCUAUUUCUAGAGAUAGAAAGUUACUUCGGUACAUCGGUGACAGGUGGUGCAUGGUUGUCGUCAGCUCGUGUCGUGAGAUGUUGGGUUAAGUCCCGCAACGAGCGCAACCCCUAUUGUUAGUUGCCAUCAUUCAGUUGGGCACUCUAGCGAGACUGCCGGUAAUAAACCGGAGGAAGGUGGGGAUGACGUCAAAUCAUCAUGCCCCUUAUGACCUGGGCUACACACGUGCUACAAUGGUUGGUACAACGAGUUGCGAGUCGGUGACGGCAAGCUAAUCUCUUAAAGCCAAUCUCAGUUCGGAUUGUAGGCUGCAACUCACCUACAUGAAGUCGGAAUCGCUAGUAAUCGCGGAUCAGCACGCCGCGGUGAAUACGUUCCCGGGCCUUGCACACACCGCCCGUC
This 1405-nucleotide ribosomal RNA is filed under the name uncultured bacterium. Its description in RNAcentral is "bacterial SSU rRNA". It matches the Rfam family "Bacterial small subunit ribosomal RNA". The record is from RNAcentral.